AUGCAGUUUGGAAUGUUGAUUGAGUUUCUCUUUGAGAAGUUCCAGAUGGGGAGGUUACUGAUCAGGAUAUUGGAGAACUAGAGGUACCCAUGUCAAGCUCCCUGGUCCUUUCUUGAAAGAACCAAAUACGAAUUUCACACCUCUUACAUUAAGAUGAUACGGUUCGUAUGAACUAGGAGGCGUUUACAAUAAGACGAUACGGCUUUGUGAGGCUUCAAAGAGUAUUAACAAGUAAAAAUGUGAAGCGACUAAUGGUGACUGCCAUGAAGCAGAUGCAGCUGUUGGUUAGAGUCCAAACACAAAUUCAGUCACGUAGAAUCCAUAUGUCAAAGAAUCAAGCACAAGAACUAUCAUCAUUAGAAGUAAGAUAUAAUUUCUUGGCCUUUUUUCUAAAAUACAUGGCUUUUUGUUUUAACAUAAGAUAUAUUCGCAGUCAAAUUUCUAACAAAAACAGCCAUUUAAUAAGCACCAAAGAGAUUACAAACUAGAAAAAAGACGCAAAAUUGUCUAUCACAUUAAUUAUUUAUUAAAAGUCUUUAAGAGAUUGACAAUUGGUUUGUAGGUCAAUCUAACCCAAUAAUCCAACUAUAACGACCAGCCAACCACAGCCUGCCAUGUCAACCCCCCCCCCCCCCCCCCCCCCGCAGGCAGAAUCUCCACGCCAAGCGGCCAACGCUGAUCAAAACGCCAACCCAGGGUGGAGCCCCCGGCUUUAAACGGCCAAAACACCCAAAACCCACGCCCACACCCAACAGUCAAUGUGAAACAUAAAACACUUUUAUGCAGAUUUUUCUGCACUGUACAGUGCACACUGCACAACUCUACAACAUUGACUCUUUGCUGCAAGUAAUAGAGAUUUAAAACAACAAGUUUAGUUUAUUCAAGGUUCUAAAAAUUUAAUUUAAAAUAUAAUAGUUUAUCAAUAUUUUGGUUCUUUGAGGUUUAUUAGUUCUAUAUAUAGCUUAUUUUUGGUUCUAUAAAAACAUAAAGCUUCUAGAAUUGAAUUAUAGUUUUUUUUAUCUUAUUUUUUUUGUUUAAAGAUUAAUAACGUAGAAAAUAUUCUCUAAAAUUAAAUAUAGAGAUUUUUAGUACCAAACGCCUCGUUUACGUGAAGCUCACGCCUAGCGCUUUGCGCCUUGGUUUUUAGGGCUGCAGCCAUGGAGAAUUAAUAUUUUGAUAAAUAUUAUUUGUCAUCAUUUAAUAUUAAUUUAUCAAUGAAUUUUUGAAAAUGACAAAAACUCACAGAUUUAACCACUUUGGUGGCAGCUCAGAGCGUUUCUAAUCGAGUGUUAUUUAGUCAAAAAUGAUUUUUUGUUCUAGCCUUUUAGGGGCUUUUGUUGGAGUGUACUUGAAAGUCUGCAAGUGUGGGUGUGGGGGUUGAUUGCUGGAAGUGGGCUUUCGAUACAUCAGGUAUGUUCACUGUUCGAAGUUUCAGGAAUCAUCUGCAUCAGGCUAGGUUCUUGGACCUGGGAACGGGUUUUGUUGUAACAACUUGACGCCUAUUAAGGUUAAUUUCCUGGACUGGAGAGUGUCACUAAAUAGGGUCUCAACGAACCUGGAGGAUGUUUUGUCCAUGGUAUGUCCUUUGAUUCGUGCCAGCUGUACCGGAGACAGUGGAUUAUCAAAUUUAAUGAUAAUGUUCUGGGAGACUUCAAUGGUGAAGCUGUGAUAGGCCAGUUUCCCUUGUUAUGAUUGGGGGAGAAAGAGUUUGUUUACGAAUGCUGCAUAACUUCUACGGCUUCACCUGCAUCGAUAGAGGGUUCUUACAUGUUUAUCCCGGGCAGGCGUGUCGUGCUAUGCUCAUCAUAUCUUUUUUUAGCAUUUGUAUUAGAUAAAUUUGUAAAAUGUGUGUAAUCUGUUUGCAGAUUGGCGGAUCCACAACGAAGCCCCUUUGAGGUUGAAAUUGCUAGAUUUCCUUUGGUUUUGCCAGAGUACAUCUUCUGAUGCAACUAUUCUGUUAUCCAUGGUCACUAUCUUGGCUUAAAGCCGUUUGUUUGAUUUCUGUCUCGACCCGUUAGUUAUACUUGUUAGGUAACUGGCUCGGUCUUGGUCUUUUCGGGUUGGGUCUGUUCACAACUGAAUAUCGUUUUAAGGUUUGCUUUAUAUUCCCGUCUG
Long non-coding RNA from Helianthus annuus (common sunflower), 2115 nucleotides. RefSeq lists it as uncharacterized. The transcript has 4 exons. The record is from RefSeq and is a predicted model, not a curated record. NCBI's taxonomy places the organism in Eukaryota, Viridiplantae, Streptophyta, Magnoliopsida, Asterales, Asteraceae.